AGUGAACGCUGGCGGUAGGCCUAACACAUGCAAGUCGAACGGCAGCACAGGAGAGCUUGCUCUCUGGGUGGCGAGUGGCGGACGGGUGAGGAAUACAUCGGAAUCUACUUUUUCGUGGGGGAUAACGUAGGGAAACUUACGCUAAUACCGCAUACGACCUACGGGUGAAAGCAGGGGAUCUUCGGACCUUGCGCGAUUGAAUGAGCCGAUGUCGGAUUAGCUAGUUGGCGGGGUAAAGGCCCACCAAGGCGACGAUCCGUAGCUGUCUGAGAGGAUGAUCAGCCACACUGGAACUGAGACACGGUCCAGACUCCUACGGGAGGCAGCAGUGGGGAAUAUUGGACAAUGGGCGCAAGCCUGAUCCAGCCAUACCGCGUGGGUGAAGAAGGCCUUCGGGUUGUAAAGCCCUUUUGUUGGGAAAGAAAUCCAGCUGGUUAAUACCCGGUUGGGAUGACGGUACCCAAAGAAUGAGCACCAGCUAACUUCGUGCCAGCCGCCGCCGUAA
RNAcentral lists this ribosomal RNA (505 nucleotides) under uncultured bacterium. Its description in RNAcentral is "partial 16S ribosomal RNA". It matches the Rfam family "Bacterial small subunit ribosomal RNA", at positions 29 to 523 of the family's 1533-position model. The record is from RNAcentral.